CCUGCAACAACGCCAGUACAGCGCGAGAAGAAAAAGCGGCAAUUUCAUCAAACUUUUCUGAAACUGUGCGCAAUCUGGUACCAACUCAAAAGACCGAAGACAGCCGACUCAUACUUCUCAGAAGAAGCAAACCCAUCACAGAUCCUAUUUGAAGCAACUUUGUACCACUUACAAGACCGGUUGGUGAACAGGGUCAUUCCCAAGAGAAGCAGCGGCUCAGUGGUUUCCACAGCACCGAGGAUCCAUAAAUCAAACGCUGGGCUGUGUAAUAUCAUAAAGUACUCCGAGAGGCUUCCAGGGCCCUGCUGCUGCGUAUGUGUGUAAUAAACUUAAGAAGCCAGCAGCGACGAACAACCGCAGCAGCUACAGACAGCAAUGACCACACACACCACCAAACACAAAGAAAAGCACAGGAAAGGUCUCUCAGAGCGCUGGAUCGCAACUGACUGAACGAGGCUUUUAAUCCAGCAGGAGACCAAACCCGUCCGGCGUCCGAUUCCAUCAGGCUUCACUGGAUUCAAAUCCAACUCAUGUGAGACAGAAAACACUGAAGCGCUGCA
Molecule: long non-coding RNA, 560 nt
Organism: Carassius auratus (goldfish)
Lineage: Eukaryota; Metazoa; Chordata; Actinopteri; Cypriniformes; Cyprinidae
Exons: 3
Source: RefSeq, a predicted model, not a curated record